UUUUUGGGCAAUGGAGGAAAUUUUGACCGAGCAACGCCGCGUGAACGACGAAGUACUUUGGUAUGUAAAGUUCUUUUAUCAAGGAAGAAAAGCAAGUGGUGAACCAUUUGUUUGCCGGUACUUGAUGAAUAAGCCCCGGCUAAUUAUGUGCCAGCAGCCGCGGUAAGACAUAAGGGGCAAGUGUUAUCCGGAAUUAUUGGGCGUAAAGGGUGCGUAGGCGGUCUAGUAAGUCAGUGGUGUAAUGGCAACGCUCAACGUUGUCCGGCUAUUGAAACUGCUAAACUUGAGUUAGAUAGAGGCGAGUGGAAUUCCAUGUGUAGCGGUAAAAUGCGUAAAUAUAUGGAGGAACACCAGAGGCGUAGGCGGCUCGCUGGGUCUUAACUGACGCUGAGGCACGAAAGCGUGGGGAGCAAACAGGAUUAGAUACCCUGGUAGUCCACGCCGUAAACGAUGAGUACUAAGUGUCGGGUUAAACCGGUACUGAAGUUAACACAUUAAGUACUCCGCCUGAGUAGUACGUACGCAAGUAUGAAACUUAAAGGAAUUGACGGGACUCCGCACAAGCGGUGGAUCAUGUUGUUUAAUUCGAAGAUACCCGAAAAACCUUACCAGGUCUUGACAUGUUUUUGCGAAACGGUAGUAAUAUCGUGGAGGUUAUCAGAAACACAGGUGGUGCAUGGUUGUCGUCAGCUCGUGUCGUGAGAUGUUAGGUUAAGUCCUAAAACGAGCGAAACCCUUAUCGUUAGUUGCCAGCACGUUAUGGUGGGGACUUUAACGAGACUGCCAGUGAUAAAUUGGAGGAAGGUGAGGAUCACGUCAAAUCAGCAUGCCCCUUAUGACCUGGGCUACAAACGUGAUACAAUGGCUGUUACAAAGGGUAGCUGAAACGCAAGUUCUUGGCCAAUCCCCAAAAACAGUCUCAGUCCGGAUUGAAGUCUGCAACUCGACUUCAUGAAGUUGGAAUCGCUAGUAAUCGCGAAUCAGCAUGUCGCGGUGAAUACGUUCUCGGGGUUUGUACACACCGCCCGUCAAACCACGAAAGUUGGCAAUACCCCAAAACGGUAGCCUAACUCGUUUAUCGAGAGGGCGCUGUCUAAGGUAGGGUCGAUGAUUGGGGUUAAGUCGUAACAAGGUAUCCCUACCGGAAGGUGGGGAUGGAUCACCUCCUUUCUAAGGAAACCAAUAAAAUCAAUCAUCUUCAGUUUUGAAAGACUUAGGAUAACUAAGUUUUUCUUCGUGACUUCACGAAGGGCCUAUAGCUCAGUUGGUUAGAGCACACGCCUGAUAAGCGUGAGGUCGGUGGUUCAAGUCCAUUUAGGCCCACCAGAGUUAUAGGUGUCGUAAGAACACAAAUUCUUUGAAAAUUAGGUAAAUAAUAGUUAUUUUUCCGGAACAUUAAAGGAAAUAAGAGCGCACAGUGGAUGCCUAGGCACCAAGAGCC
This 1441-nucleotide ribosomal RNA is filed under the name 'Citrus macrophylla' witches'-broom phytoplasma. RNAcentral describes it as "bacterial SSU rRNA". The stretch from base 1 to 1170 matches the Rfam family "Bacterial small subunit ribosomal RNA", at positions 361 to 1533 of the family's 1533-position model. The record is from RNAcentral. Lineage: Bacteria; Bacillati; Mycoplasmatota; Mollicutes; Acholeplasmatales; Acholeplasmataceae.